This 79-nucleotide transfer RNA is filed under the name Eubacteriales bacterium. RNAcentral describes it as "tRNA-OTHER". It matches the Rfam family "tRNA". From Rfam's summary of the family: Transfer RNA (tRNA) molecules are approximately 80 nucleotides in length. Their secondary structure includes four short double-helical elements and three loops (D, anti-codon, and T loops). Further hydrogen bonds mediate the characteristic L-shaped molecular structure. tRNAs have two regions of fundamental functional importance: the anti-codon, which is responsible for specific mRNA codon recognition, and the 3' end, to which the tRNAs corresponding amino acid is attached (by aminoacyl-tRNA synthetases). tRNAs cope with the degeneracy of the genetic code in two manners: having more than one tRNA (with a specific anti-codon) for a particular amino acid; and 'wobble' base-pairing, i.e. permitting non-standard base-pairing at the 3rd anti-codon position. Lineage: Bacteria; Bacillati; Bacillota; Clostridia; Eubacteriales. The record is from RNAcentral.
GCCGCAGUAGCUCAGAGGUUGAGCCGAGGGGACCACAAUGCCCCAAGGGACGCCGGUUCGAAUCCGGCCUGCGGUGCCA